Molecule: long non-coding RNA, 880 nt
Organism: Salvia miltiorrhiza (redroot sage)
Lineage: Eukaryota; Viridiplantae; Streptophyta; Magnoliopsida; Lamiales; Lamiaceae
Exons: 2
Source: RefSeq, a predicted model, not a curated record
GAGUUAAAGAAAGAAGGAAAAAAACUUUAGUACUUGACUAUAUUCAUCUCCACAGCUCUUCAAGAAUAAGAAGGGUAUAUAUAAUAUGAUGUUAGCCAUGUGUUGGAGGAAUAAAAAUCUGGCACAUUUCAUUUUCACCCUCUUUUCUUUUGUUUUCACUCACUAAUUAGAAUGUGUUUGAAAACAACAAGUCCCACUAUAAAUGAGCUACUUCCUUUGAUGAUAUUCUUGUUUCCUUCAAAGUAAAAAGAGAUGGAUUUUUGGAGAGGUGGAUAUGAGAAGCUUGAGAAGAGAAGGAGGCCAAUUGCAAUUAGUAGAAGAGGAAAAGGGGUGAAGCUAAGGCGAUGUACAAGGAAGCUCAUGUCUAUGCUGUCGACAAAGAUUGGUAGGAAAUAUGUGAAUUUUGUGAAAAGAAUGAAGAUGGAGGAAGCAUCUCCUGCUAUUGUCUUCUCCUUCCACUGGGGUCUUCCAGUCCUUUCCCACACCAACAAAAUUUCCUUCUCCACUUUACUCACAUAAUUAACAUUCUUAAGCAUAGUGAGCCGCGACGCACAACGAGCUGACUAAGGGCACAACUUGAAGUCAGAGACUCUUGUCAACCGUGACACACAGUGAUCCAAGCUGACCAGUUGAAUGCAAAAAUAGGCAGAACGACGGUCAGCCACAGCGUACUCCCAACCGAGCUGACCGAUACGGUUUUAUCUUAAAAUAUAACGUGAAUAUACGCUUCAACAACAAUUUUCAGGACAUUAUCUCAAUUCUUUUCCAAUUUUUUUUCUUUAAAACUUGUGAAAGUGUAGAAAUACCUAGAUUUGCAUAUUUUUCUUUAUCAACAUCAUUGUGGAGAAGAUUUCAAGUUUAAUUCAUAAGAUUUUCAUUA